Strigops habroptila (Kakapo) is the source of this 472-nucleotide long non-coding RNA. RefSeq lists it as uncharacterized. The record is from RefSeq and is a predicted model, not a curated record. Lineage: Eukaryota; Metazoa; Chordata; Aves; Psittaciformes; Psittacidae. The transcript has 4 exons.
UAAAAACCCUGGAAAAAAGUCACAAAGUAUUAUUGAAGGAAGUUAAAAGGUAAUUACAAAAAGCAGAAAUAAAAAUCUAAGAACCUCAAGUAUAAGAUUUUCAUCAGAGCACCAAGAGGAGACCACAGGACUAGGCAGUCUCAGGAAUGCAUCCACUGUCUGUAUAGGAACUCCAUACUGCCAAAUAAAACAACAUAUUCAAGUGUACAGUUUGUAGCAUGAAUGCAGAAAAUACUGGGAUUGACUUGGUCGAUUAAUUUAAAUACCCUUUCUGGUGGAUUUGCUUCAACAUCGAGUGAAUAUAUGGCAGCUUUCUGACUACACAGACGGCUGUCACCUCUGCAAGCAAUAAUAAUAAAAUCAGUGACCUACUUCAAAUAUUACUCUACUGAACUGGUUUUGAGAGCUGCUGUUCUGUAAUAAAUCCUGACUUAAGAACAACACACAGUGAAGAAAAUUAAGCCCAGUGCUC